This 212-nucleotide unclassified non-coding RNA is filed under the name Hevea brasiliensis (rubber tree). Lineage: Eukaryota; Viridiplantae; Streptophyta; Magnoliopsida; Malpighiales; Euphorbiaceae. The record is from RNAcentral.
GAAAACUAUGGCAAUGAAAUAAGUUAGUUAAAAUUAUUAUAUGGAUGUAUUUUCAAGAUGCCCAUUGAUAUUUGAUGAUGCAAACUGAAGUGGUAUUUAGUGAAAAAUGUUGGUUUUGGGGAAAUUCCUUUCUUUUUAGAAUCUUCUAAAUGUGAAUGUGAUGUCUCAUUGAUGUUUCCUAUUUGUUGGUUUUUCAACCACCGCAAGUGCAU